This 402-nucleotide ribosomal RNA is filed under the name uncultured bacterium. RNAcentral describes it as "bacterial SSU rRNA". It matches the Rfam family "Bacterial small subunit ribosomal RNA", at positions 74 to 463 of the family's 1533-position model. The record is from RNAcentral.
CUUGCUCUGGUGACCCGAGUGGCGGACGGGUGAGUAACACGUGACCAACCUACCUUCGGGAGGGGGACAACCUGGGGAAACCUGGGCUAAUACCGCAUAUCGUCCACGGGCCGCAUGGCCUGUGGAUAAAAGGGAGCCUCUGCUUGCAUGCUCUCACCCGAAGAGGGGGUCGCGGCGUAUCAGCUAGUUGGUGGGGUAACGGCCUACCAAGGCGACGACGCGUAGCGGGUCUGAGAGGACGACCCGUCACAUUGGGACUGAGAUACGGCCCAGACUCCUACGGGAGGCAGCAGUGGGGAAUAUUGCGCAAUGGCCGAAAGGUUGACGCAGCGACGCCGCGUGUGGGAGGACGCCCUUCGGGGUGUAAACCACUGUCAGGGGGGAAGAACUUCGCAGGUGUGA